This 280-nucleotide unclassified non-coding RNA is filed under the name Hevea brasiliensis (rubber tree). Lineage: Eukaryota; Viridiplantae; Streptophyta; Magnoliopsida; Malpighiales; Euphorbiaceae. The record is from RNAcentral.
GGGUUACUUGAUGCAUUUGAUAUCUACCUUGAACAGAUAGUGCACUUGACUAUUUUGCUGUGAUGAAGAGAAAUUGUUUGAGCCUUUGAGGCAAUGAUCUAUUGAGUGUUUUUGAUGCGCAGGAACAAGGAGGGCAAGAUUUGUUGCAACCGGUUCCUGUGCCUUAACACUGUGAUUCUGAGCAACUUAAAUUGUUGGAACUAACUAGCUCCACUUGUACGUGAUAAUUUAAGUUGUGCAGGUGCGCAAGAUUGAGACGCAGCAAACUGGAUGCAGAGAU